RNAcentral lists this ribosomal RNA (334 nucleotides) under uncultured eukaryote. Its description in RNAcentral is "partial 18S ribosomal RNA". It matches the Rfam family "Eukaryotic small subunit ribosomal RNA", at positions 1470 to 1796 of the family's 1831-position model. The record is from RNAcentral.
CCCUUAGAUGUCCGGGGCCGCACGCGCGCUACACUGAAGGAAUCAGCGUGGCUUUCUCCCUGACCCGAAAGGGUUGGGAAACCCGUUGAAUCUCCUUCGUGAUAGGGAUUGGGGCUUGAAAUUGUUCCCCAUGAACGAGGAAUUCCCAGUAAGCGCGAGUCAUAAGCUCGCGUUGAUUACGUCCCUGCCCUUUGUACACACCGCCCGUCGCUACUACCGAUUGAACGGUUUAGUGAGGGCCUCGGAUUGGUCUCGGCCCGCACUUUACCGGGCGGCGCCGUUGGUCGAGAAGACGCUCGAACUUGAUCGUUUAGAGGAAGUAAAAGUCGUAACA